AGAGUUUGAUCCUGGCUCAGAUUGAACGCUGGCGGCAUGCUUUACACAUGCAAGUCGAACGGCAGCAUAGGUGCUUGCACCUGAUGGCGAGUGGCGGACGGGUGAGUAAUGCAUCGGGACGUGUCCGGAAGAGGGGGAUAACUGUUCGAAAGAACAGCUAAUACCGCAUAAUAUCCGAGGAAGAAAGCUGGGGACCUUAGGGCCUGGCGCUUACGGGGCGACCGAUGUCUGAUUAGCUAGUUGGUGGGGUAAAAGCCUACCAAGGCGACGAUCAGUAGCUGGUCUGAGAGGACGACCAGCCACACUGGGACUGAGAAACGGCCCAGACUCCUACGGGAGGCAGCAGUGGGGAAUUUUGGACAAUGGGGGCAACCCUGAUCCAGCAAUGCCGCGUGUCUGAAGAAGGCCUUCGGGUUGUAAAGGACUUUUGUUGGGGAGCAAGGUGCACAGGUUAAGAGCUAGUGUACUUGAGAGUACCCAAAGAAUAAGGACCGGCUAACUACGUGCCAGCAGCCGCGGUAAUACGUAGGGUCCAAGCGUUAAUCGGAAUUACUGGGCGUAAAGAGUGCGCAGGCGGCUUUGUAAGCUUGAUGUGAAAUCCCCGGGCUCAACCUGGGAACUGCAUUGAGGACUGCAAGGCUAGAGUGUAGCAGAGGGGGGUAGAAUUCCACGUGUAGCGGUGAAAUGCGUAGA
RNAcentral lists this ribosomal RNA (693 nucleotides) under uncultured bacterium. Its description in RNAcentral is "bacterial SSU rRNA". It matches the Rfam family "Bacterial small subunit ribosomal RNA", at positions 8 to 694 of the family's 1533-position model. The record is from RNAcentral.